Molecule: ribosomal RNA, 253 nt
Filed under: uncultured bacterium
Lineage: Bacteria
Description: partial 16S ribosomal RNA
Rfam family: Bacterial small subunit ribosomal RNA
Source: RNAcentral
UACGAAGGGGGCGAGCGUUGUUCGGAAUUACUAGGCGUAAAGGGCGCGUAGGCGGCCGAUCAAGUCAGAUGUGAAAGUCCUGGGCUUAACCUGGGGACUGCAUUUGAUACUGAUUGGCUUGAAUGCAGGAGAGGAUAGCGGAAUUCCCAGUGUAGAGGUGAAAUUCGUAGAUAUUGGGAAGAACACCGGUGGCGAAGGCGGCUAUCUGGACUGUGAUUGACGCUGAGGCGCGAAAGCGUGGGGAGCAAACAGG